RNAcentral lists this ribosomal RNA (244 nucleotides) under uncultured bacterium. Its description in RNAcentral is "partial 16S ribosomal RNA". It matches the Rfam family "Bacterial small subunit ribosomal RNA", at positions 118 to 348 of the family's 1533-position model. The record is from RNAcentral.
UGGGUAACCUGCCUCAAAGAGGGGAAUAGCCUCCCGAAAGGGAGAUUAAUACCGCAUAAUAUGUUUAGGUCGCAUGACUUUAACAUCAAAGGAUUUUCUUUUAGAAAUUCCACUUUGAGAUGGACCCGCGGCGCAUUAGCUAGUUCGUGAGGUAACGGCUCACCAAGGCAACGAUGCGUAGCCGACCUGAGAGGGUGAUCGGCCACAUUGGAACUGAGACACGGUCCAGACUCCGUAGGGACGG